Molecule: ribosomal RNA, 253 nt
Filed under: uncultured bacterium
Lineage: Bacteria
Description: partial 16S ribosomal RNA
Rfam family: Bacterial small subunit ribosomal RNA
Source: RNAcentral
UACGAAGGGUGCUAGCGUUGUUCGGAAUCACUGGGCGUAAAGCGCGCGUAGGCGGUUUAGCAAGUCAGAGGUGAAAGCCCAGGGCUCAACCCUGGAAUUGCCUUUGAAACUGCUAAACUAGAGUGUCGGAGGGGAUAGCGGAAUUCCUAAUGUAGAGGUGAAAUUCGUAGAUAUUAGGAGGAACACCGGUGGCGAAGGCGGCUAUCUGGACGACAACUGACGCUGAGGCGCGAAAGCGUGGGGAUCAAACAGG